Molecule: ribosomal RNA, 253 nt
Filed under: uncultured bacterium
Lineage: Bacteria
Description: partial 16S ribosomal RNA
Rfam family: Bacterial small subunit ribosomal RNA
Source: RNAcentral
UACGGAGGGAGCUAGCGUUGUUCGGAAUUACUGGGCGUAAAGCGCACGUAGGCGGCUUUGUAAGUUAGAGGUGAAAGCCCGGGGCUCAACUCCGGAACUGCCUUUAAGACUGCAUCGCUUGAAUCCAGGAGAGGUGAGUGGAAUUCCAGGUGUAGCGGUGAAAUGCGUAGAUAUCUGGAGGAACACCGGUGGCGAAGGCGGCAUCCUGGACCGGUAUUGACGCUGAGGCGCGAAAGCCAGGGGAGCAAACGGG